RNAcentral lists this ribosomal RNA (252 nucleotides) under uncultured bacterium. RNAcentral describes it as "partial 16S ribosomal RNA". It matches the Rfam family "Bacterial small subunit ribosomal RNA", at positions 524 to 776 of the family's 1533-position model. The record is from RNAcentral.
UACAGGGGGGGCAAGCGUUGUUCGGAAUUACUGGGCGUAAAGGGCUCGUAGGCGGCCAACUAAGUCCGACGUGAAAUCCCAAAGCUUAACUUUGGAACUGCGUCGGAUACUGGAUGGCUUGAAUUCGGGAGAGGGAUGCAGAAUUCCAGGUGUAGCGGUGAAAUGGCAGAUAUUCGGCGGAACACCAGUGGCGAAGGCGGCCAACUGGGCCAAUCCUGACGCUGAGACGCGAAAGCCAGGGUAGCGAACCGG